GCAUUACGCAGGUGGCGUACGCUCUUCUGUGUCAGCUGCGACAAAGGAUGCGGUGUUUUCUUCAAAUCAAAGUGUAAAUAUACAUAUGUAGAAAACGUAUCCUUGUGGCGCGGCUGACACAGAAACACUGAUGGCAGAUGGACUAUUCUGACGAUGCUUUCCAUACUUUUCUGGACCUUGACAGUGCAUUUUAAUAUUUCCAAAAUAUCUUAAAUUGUGUUCUGAAGACAAACUAAGCUUUUACGGGUUUGGAACGACAUGGGGGUAAGUGAUUAAUGACAAAAUUUUCAUUUUGGGGUGGAGUAUCCCUUUAAGGGUGGGGUGGAAUAUGCUACAUGACUUUUAAAAUCGGAUUUUAAAACACUAGGCAUUAUAUACUUGCAACUUCGUAAGUGGUAACAGAUUAAAUGGCCGUUCACAUGUUGUGUCUUUUGCACGCUCAAGUUCCUUAUUUCAGAUGUAGAAACACUCAUGGCACUCAUGAGCUGUGACACGCGCUUCACAAGACAUGUGAACGGCUCUUAAUGGUACAUUUGCACGACAACGAUGCACUUAAACUUGUGUUUUUGAAAAAUUUCAUUUACAGAUGACAACACUGUCAAAACAAUCACUGUUCACGCGGAUCUGCGAAAACAACUAACAAAGCUGUAUUGUGCAUGCCAGGCCAGUAGAUGUCAGUAUGCAAGUAUAUACUGUACAGUAUGCUUUUUGUUCUCCUAAGAGCAUUGAACCGUUUGAGUCCAGCUGAGCCCUCAGUGUUUUAAUCCAGAAACUCGAAGGAGACCCUCUGUGCCGCUGAACCACAUCUAAACACUCCUGUGCAAUGUUUUGACUUCCUGUUCUGAAUUUCAGUUUUUUUAUGCAUCUUUUUUUCUUUUUUUUAUGAGCGUGAAUGUAAUUUUUUAUUUUAAAGAGUCAUCAGAUUUUCACCUUUCAGUAUUGCAAGAACUCUAAAUAGAGAUGCAAUAGUAGAGAUGCAGAUAAAUAACUAACCUAUAUUAAACUUAAAAUGAU
This is a long non-coding RNA of Cyprinus carpio carpio, 1014 nucleotides long. Lineage: Eukaryota; Metazoa; Chordata; Actinopteri; Cypriniformes; Cyprinidae. The record is from Ensembl.